Molecule: ribosomal RNA, 251 nt
Filed under: uncultured prokaryote
Description: partial 16S ribosomal RNA
Rfam family: Bacterial small subunit ribosomal RNA
Source: RNAcentral
ACGAAGGUGGCGAGCGUUGUUCGGAUUUACUGGGCGUAAAGAGCACGUAGGCGGUUGGGUAAGCCUCUUGGGAAAUCUUCCGGCUUAACCGGGAAAGUUCGAGAGGAACUACUCAGCUAGAGGACGGGAGAGGAGCGCGGAAUUCCCGGUGUAGCGGUGAAAUGCGUAGAUAUCGGGAAGAAGGCCGGUGGCGAAGGCGGCGCUCUGGAACGUACCUGACGCUGAGGUGCGAAAGCGUGGGGAGCAAACAG